This 23-nucleotide small nuclear RNA is filed under the name Arabidopsis thaliana (thale cress). RNAcentral describes it as "snRNA_05463". Lineage: Eukaryota; Viridiplantae; Streptophyta; Magnoliopsida; Brassicales; Brassicaceae. The record is from RNAcentral.
AUAAAUCUUGGAUUUGGGAUUUA